Molecule: transfer RNA, 74 nt
Filed under: Candidatus Microgenomates bacterium
Lineage: Bacteria; Candidatus Microgenomatota
Description: tRNA-Arg
Rfam family: tRNA
About the family: Transfer RNA (tRNA) molecules are approximately 80 nucleotides in length. Their secondary structure includes four short double-helical elements and three loops (D, anti-codon, and T loops).
Source: RNAcentral
GCACUCGUAGCUCAAUUGGAUAGAGCAACGGUCUUCGGAACCGGCGGUUGGGGGUUCGACUCCCUCCGAGUGCG